UACGAAGGGAGCUAGCGUUGUUCGGAAUUACUGGGCGUAAAGCGUGCGUAGACGGUUGCGUAAGUCAGAUGUGAAAGCCCCGGGCUCAACCUGGGAAUUGCAUUUGAGACUGCGUAGCUAGGGUGCGGAAGAGGGAAGCGGAAUUUCCGGUGUAGCGGUGAAAUGCGUAGAUAUCGGAAGGAACACCAGUGGCGAAAGCGGCUUCCUGGUCCAGCACCGACGUUCAGGCACGAAAGCGUGGGGAGCAAACAGG
RNAcentral lists this ribosomal RNA (253 nucleotides) under uncultured bacterium. RNAcentral describes it as "partial 16S ribosomal RNA". It matches the Rfam family "Bacterial small subunit ribosomal RNA", at positions 524 to 776 of the family's 1533-position model. The record is from RNAcentral.